RNAcentral lists this ribosomal RNA (239 nucleotides) under uncultured bacterium. RNAcentral's name for it is "partial 16S ribosomal RNA". It matches the Rfam family "Bacterial small subunit ribosomal RNA", at positions 15 to 244 of the family's 1533-position model. The record is from RNAcentral.
GAUCAUGGCUCAGGAUGAACGCUAGCGACAGGCUUAACACAUGCAAGUCGAGGGGCAGCAUAAUUUGUAGCAAUACAGAUUGAUGGCGACCGGCGCACGGGUGAGUAACGCGUAUGCAACUUACCUAUCAGAGGGGGAUAGCCCGGCGAAAGUCGGAUUAAUACCCCAUAAAACAGGGGUCCCGCAUGGGAAUAUUUGUUAAAGAUUUAUCAGUAAAGGAUGGGGAUGCGUCCCAUUAG